AACGAACGCUGGCGGCAGGCCUAACACAUGCAAGUCGAGCGAGGACUUCGGUUCUAGCGGCGGACGGGUGAGUAACGCGUGGGAAUGUGCCCUUCUCUACGGAAUAGCUCUGGGAAACUGGGAGUAAUACCGUAUACGCCCUAUUGGGGAAAGAUUUAUCGGAGAAGGAUCAGCCCGCGUUGGAUUAGGUAGUUGGUGGGGUAAUGGCCUACCAAGCCGACGAUCCAUAGCUGGUUUGAGAGGAUGAUCAGCCACACUGGGACUGAGACACGGCCCAGACUCCUACGGGAGGCAGCAGUGGGGAAUCUUAGACAAUGGGGGCAACCCUGAUCUAGCCAUGCCGCGUGAGUGAUGAAGGCCUUAGGGUUGUAAAGCUCUAUCAGCUGGGAAGAUAAUGACGGUACCAGCAGAAGAAGCCACGGCUAACUCCGUG
Molecule: ribosomal RNA, 433 nt
Filed under: uncultured bacterium
Lineage: Bacteria
Description: partial 16S ribosomal RNA
Rfam family: Bacterial small subunit ribosomal RNA
Source: RNAcentral